This 1352-nucleotide long non-coding RNA is filed under the name Phoenix dactylifera (date palm). RNAcentral describes it as "long non-coding RNA (PDAC_LNC014891)". The record is from RNAcentral. Lineage: Eukaryota; Viridiplantae; Streptophyta; Magnoliopsida; Arecales; Arecaceae.
AUGCGAGACCACAUGCAUCAUGGAUGCCAUGCUCUAGCAUCGUAAGAUCAUAAAGUGCAGCAGUUACAUUUGGAAGAUCGUAGAUUAUAUAGACUCCUAGUGAUUUAGAUUUACUUAAUAAAAACUCCAGAGUUUAUGCAAAUAUCCAACACGACUAACAUAACAAUAACUCAACUGUAAGGAAUUUGCCAACCAUUCCUUGCAUAACUUGCAGCAUUGCACCAAGAAAGUAGUCACUUCAAAUCCAUUCUUGAGGAGGUAAUUGUAGAUUGAUAGCAACAACCUCUCACAUUGCCUUAAGCUCCUUGUCUGCCCACUGAAAAUGGAAGACUGCAGAAUUAGAGCCAUAGGUAUGACCCCUACAUUGGUUUCUCUUUCCAGUUAUGUUCUUAUCUUUGUAUCUCACAAAUUAUGUGCUUUUACUCAAAAUAAGCACCUAGAGAAAUUCUCUUUUUUCUCAUAAGAAACAACAAGAAAACUCCAAGAAGAAAAAGAAAAACCAGCUAUAGAAACAUUGAAGGGUUUCCCAGAAACAGAAAAAGGGUAUGGAGACUACAAUUUCAUCUUCAAGAAGCAGUAUCCCAGAUGCACAUACUUUAGAUGGUAUCUUAUACAUUUAUUUGUAUCUUUUUUUUUUUUAAUUUUGAGAGAAGACAUUCAUUUUUAAUAUUUACAUCACUAGAGCCUUCCAUUUUGCUUUUGCUUAGAUGGCAUGAAAAUUUACUCUUUUUUUUCCGAGACUAGUAGAGGCUAACUCCCCACCAUUUUUACCCUAUACAACCUUGGGGGCUGGCUCCAACCAGAAUCGAACUCCUGACUUCUUGCCCGAAUGCUGAGAGAUGAUGCUAUCCUAGCAAGUGCUCGAUAGUAUGAUUGUUUAGUAAUUGAUCCUUCAAACUUGUCUUAGCUCCUCUUCUUACCAUGCUAUCCUCAAAUUUUUCUUAUGUGCCUUUGCAUUGUUUAUGCAGAUACUCUAACAAUGUUUCUCAAUAGAUAAAUCUACACACCCAACACUGCACACAGUUCAUGUUAUUCUACAAUUUAACAUCCAUCCAUUUCAAUAUUUUUUCUGCAAGAGAUGCUCUUAUUUGUUUUGGCUCUGUCCUGUGGUAUAGGACAUGAAGCAUCAAGUCAUUUUGAUUAUGACCCUCCUGAUCAAAUAUGAUCUAUUUUGUAGUGACUGUAUCUAAUAUUUGGGUAACCAAAAAUUGAGACCAUGCUAUAUCAAACAGCCACUUAGCUAAAUCAGUAGGCUAUAUAUAGAACUUUUUAUUUGACCACAUGUUUAUAUCCUCUUAUCUUUAUUUUUGGAGUUUGCUUGUACAUUGUUCUGCUUAAACAUCAUAGAAUAU